AUAUCAAUAAGCGGAGGAAAAGAAACCAACAGGGAUUGCCUUAGUAACGGCGAGUGAAGCGGCAACAGCUCAAAUUUGAAAUCUGGCCCUCGGGUCCGAAUUGUAAUUUGUAGAGGAUGAUUUUGGUGCGGUAUCUUCCGAGUUCCUUGGAACAGGACGCCUUAGAGGGUGAGAGCCCCGUACGGUUGAAUGCCUAGCCUCUGUAAAUCUCCUUCGACGAGUCGAGUAGUUUGGGAAUGCUGCUCUAAAUGGGAGGUAAAUUUCUUCUAAAGCUAAAUAUUGGCCAGAGACCGAUAGCGCACAAGUAGAGUGAUCGAAAGAUGAAAAGCACUUUGAAAAGAGGGUUAAAUAGCACGUGAAAUUGUUGAAAGGGAAGGAUUUGUGACCAGACUUUUUCUGGGCGGAUCAUCCGGGGUUCUCUCCGGUGCACUUUGCCCAGUAAAGGCCAGCAUCGAUUUUCGGCGGCGGAUAAAAGCAGUGGGAAUGUGGCUCCCUACGGGGAGUGUUAUAGCCCAUUGUAUAAUACGCUGCUGGGGAUCGAGGUACGCGCUUCUGCAAGGAUGCUGGCGUAAUGGUUAUCAAUCA
RNAcentral lists this ribosomal RNA (585 nucleotides) under uncultured fungus. RNAcentral describes it as "eukaryotic LSU rRNA". It matches the Rfam family "Eukaryotic large subunit ribosomal RNA", at positions 40 to 647 of the family's 3401-position model. The record is from RNAcentral. Lineage: Eukaryota; Fungi.